RNAcentral lists this ribosomal RNA (253 nucleotides) under uncultured bacterium. Its description in RNAcentral is "partial 16S ribosomal RNA". It matches the Rfam family "Bacterial small subunit ribosomal RNA", at positions 524 to 776 of the family's 1533-position model. The record is from RNAcentral.
UACGUAGGUGGCAAGCGUUGUCCGGAAUUAUUGGGCGUAAAGCGCGCGCAGGUGGUCUCUUAAGUCUGAUGUGAAAGCCCACGGCUCAACCGUGGAGGGUCAUUGGAAACUGGGGGACUUGAGUACAGAAGAGGAAAGUGGAAUUCCACGUGUAGCGGUGAAAUGCGUAGAGAUGUGGAGGAACACCAGUGGCGAAGGCGACUUUCUGGUCUGUAACUGACACUGAGGCGCGAAAGCGUGGGGAGCAAACAGG